UGCAGUCGAGCGGUAAGGCCCUUCGGGGUACACGAGCGGCGAACGGGUGAGUAACACGUGGGUGAUCUGCCUCGUACUCUGGGAUAAGCCUGGGAAACUGGGUCUAAUACCGGAUAUGACCACGAGUCGCAUGGUUUGUGGUGGAAAGAUUUAUCGGUGCGAGAUGGGCCCGCGGCCUAUCAGCUUGUUGGUGGGGUAAUGGCCUACCAAGGCGACGACGGGUAGCCGGCCUGAGAGGGCGACCGGCCACACUGGGACUGAGACACGGCCCAGACUCCUACGGGAGGCAGCAGUGGGGAAUAUUGCACAAUGGGCGGAAGCCUGAUGCAGCGACGCCGCGUGCGGGAUGACGGCCUUCGGGUUGUAAACCGCUUUCGACAGGGACGAAGCGUGAGUGACGGUACCUGUAGAAGAAGCACCGGCCAACUACGUGCCAGCAGCCGCGGUAAUACGUAGGGUGCGAGCGUUGUCCGGAAUUACUGGGCGUAAAGAGCUUGUAGGCGGUUUGUCGCGUCGUUCGUGAAAACUUGGGGCUCAACCCCAAGCUUGCGGGCGAUACGGGCAGACUAGAGUACUGCAGGGGAGACUGGAAUUCCUGGUGUAGCGGUGAAAUGCGCAGAUAUCANGAGGAACACCGGUGGCGNANGGCGGGUCUCUGGGCAGUAACUGACGCUGANGAAGCGAAAGCGUGGGUAGCGAACAGGAUUAGAUACCCUGGUAGUCCACGCCGUAAACGNUGGGUACUAGNUGUGGGUUUNCUUCCACGGNAUCCGUGCCGUAGCUAACUCAUUAAGUACCCCGCCUGGGGAGUACGGCC
RNAcentral lists this ribosomal RNA (817 nucleotides) under Nocardia wallacei. RNAcentral describes it as "bacterial SSU rRNA". It matches the Rfam family "Bacterial small subunit ribosomal RNA", at positions 56 to 887 of the family's 1533-position model. The record is from RNAcentral. Lineage: Bacteria; Bacillati; Actinomycetota; Actinomycetes; Mycobacteriales; Nocardiaceae.